Molecule: long non-coding RNA, 363 nt
Filed under: Carica papaya (papaya)
Lineage: Eukaryota; Viridiplantae; Streptophyta; Magnoliopsida; Brassicales; Caricaceae
Description: long non-coding RNA (CPAP_LNC015016)
Source: RNAcentral
AAGGUUGUCAUUUUUAUUUUUCUGAAAUCCCGUCACAAGAAAAAAAACUAGUUUCAAGGCGUCGUGUUGAUUUAGAAGAUCCUACAAUCAAACGUAAACAAAUCUCUGCAAUGGACUCAGAUACGCUUCCGCUUAUAUUUCUCAUUAAUUCAAUAUGAGAAUGUAUGUUUAAUUUUAUAAAUCUAUGGAUUUGAAAGAAAAUUUAGAAAAUGGAAUUUGUAAACUUUUGGAACUAAAAGGAGUCAAGCUCUAAGGGAAAAAGACUCACCUUACUCAUAAUAGAAGAAAACUUCCUUCCACAGUCGCACCAAAAUUCCCUCCCGAUGCCAGUUUACACUCACCCUCUGUAUUCUUAGAUUUUAC